RNAcentral lists this unclassified non-coding RNA (7804 nucleotides) under Leishmania donovani. RNAcentral describes it as "gene:LdHU3.33.1200(CDS-product:G1_cyclin_CycE4_pu tative)". Lineage: Eukaryota; Euglenozoa; Kinetoplastea; Trypanosomatida; Trypanosomatidae. The record is from RNAcentral.
CGUUUCUCAUACAGUCCCCCGCACCCUCGGCCGCCCUUCAUCUCUCCACCGCAAAGCACAAGCGAACAACUGAAGCUGCUGCUCAGGGAGGAGAGAGGCGGGGGGGAACGAAAAAAAAAAAGAAAAGCGCCACAGCAGCAGUGACAACACAACACAGGACACACACACAUACUCAAUAAAGAAACGGAACAACAGAAAAAAAAAGAGAGUGGAGUGAACGAGAGACCAAGAGAGAAGGGGAAUGAAAGCUGUGCGGAACAGUACAGAGCCCGCAGCACACCUCUUCAUCUCCACCCUCCUCAACUAAAUAGCGCUUUUUCUUUCCGAUUUCGUCUUCUUCGUCCGCUGUUGCUCCCCUCUUCUCUCUCCCUAUAAGCCGUUGUUCCCUUGUUUGGCUUCUUCUAGCCGCCACCAUCUCCCUCUUUCCUCUUCGUUGCUUCACUUUUCUGCGCGCGGUGCCGGCCUGUGUCGCUCGGUGCGUUUGGUGUGGAGAGGAGAGGAGACAACAGGCACACACGCACAAGCACGCACACGCAGCACGGAACCAGAAAGAAAAAAGCAACGAAGUGCGGAGCGAAGAUAAACAAACAACAUAGUUUGUGCUCUGGCGGUUAUCGAGAAAUCCGGCACUACUCUCCACACGAUUGCUACCGCGUUGUUCACGGGUAAGGCGGCCGUUCGUGUGCGCCUUGUGGACGGCAGAGCGGACUGCGACCGACACCACUGGCCACCAGGGUGUCCAGUUCUUGUUCUCGCUCUCUCUCUCUCUCUCCACUUCGGCCACCCACCGUGUACAGCACUUCCUGACAACGCUCGCGUUGCCGCGCUGCGCACAUCAGGAACGAAAAUACGGCGAGGAAGAGCAAAGAAGAAAAACAGAACUCAGAGUGACGGCGACCACAGGCGACCUUACACCGGCGAUUGCACAGCAACAGACAUUCAACCGAAGGCUAUCAUCGGUGUUGCUUCUUCUCGUUUUCAAUUGAAGCCCCUCUCAGCACCGGCCGUCUGGCUGACGUCCUUCUCCUCUGUUUCUCCCUCCUUUGACUUUCUCCUCCUCCGUCGUAGCUUUCCUCUUCGUCUCUGUCUGUGUAUGUGCGUGAGCGCGCCUGCUGCUAUACCAGGUGUCUCUUGAAGGUCGAGUGUGUGGGGCUUCGUCUCUUUACCUGGUGCUCUCCUCUUCUUUUUCACACUUCCCUUUGCUGCCGCCCCCCUGUCCGUUUUUCUGUUUCGGUCUUUUUGAUUUUCAAUCUUCGUCGCCUGCGCCCCCUGAUCCCCCUCUGCGUUCAGUCCACCCUUACUCGUGACCCUUUUUCUCGCCAUACCCUUGUGGAUUGCCCCCCCCCCGCGUCCUACUCCUUUCCCCGCCUCCUUUUGUCCACACCCCACCCACCCGCGCACUCUGGCGAAGUGGAGGCGUUGCCGCCUCUCACGAACCCGCCCUCUUUUCGUCGGUCCUCUGCAUCUGUAGAGCAACACACGCACACACACACACACACAAACGCAGAGAGAAGGGGUGCAUAGAUGUAGAGAGGAGUGGCUUUGGUGUUUCUUCGUCGCUACACAUUCCCGGUCUCUUUCCUUUACUGGUUGAUAUUGCAUCUAUUUUGUGUACAUAUGUAUGUGAUAGCGGCGUGUGCUCCGCUGUCGUCGUGGCCACUUCACCUGCACUGCUCCCAUUUUACGCACUUCAUUUCUGAGGCUCUGUCUCUAUAGCUGCCCAUCUCCCUUUUUUCUUUCCUUUCCGUCUACCCGGUUCUUUUUCAGUUACUCCACCAUUUCGCUUUCGUGGAUUGCUCGCACGCCGCGGGUGCUUCGGCUCCGAGUACUAGUACUACUUCCAUCUCCGCCCCUCCCCCCUUUUCUUGCUGUUGUCGUUGUUGUUGGUCGGACCUUCGCGGCACACCUCGCUCUCAUUUCUGUGGGCUGCCGUGCUCUCUUUCACGUGCGGCUGUUGCAUUUCUGAGUUUAAAAAAAGAACACGCGACGUGUGCUGACCUUUGUUUCGCUCUUUAUAUACAUUGUUGACGUUUCGCCUCUCUGAGAGCGCGAGUGCGUGCUGGUAUCUCGGCGAGCGUCUUUGCGGUUGCGUGAGCACGUUGUUCGCAAGCUGACAUCGUGCUGGGUGAGGUGCGCUGGCCUCCGUUUCUCCUUUCGUACCUCUAGCACGUUUUCUCUGCGCGCGCGCGUUGGCAACCACACUUCUCUUCUGGCACCGGACUUCGUAUACCCACGCGCUGCCAACUUCCGCCCCACAACUGGCCUCGAUUGAGGGGUGCACACACGCGCACACACAGAGGCGCACACGCAGUCCUCUUGCUCCCUUUCUCUGAGCUCUCCCUUCCGAACGGCAGCCAUGGAGUUUCCCAUAGCGGCUCCCACCGCUGAGCCGGUGCGGCAGUCGACGGCUCCGUGGACGCUGACGACGAGCUCGGAGCAGUGGAAGCCAUGUGCUGAGAAAGAAAGCCCAACUUACUCGUACCCGGUGACGCCGCAGCAUCUUUGCCGAGGUCAGCAAUGCCACAUCGUCAAUUCCGCGUCCACGCCCGAUGACGACAUCGACAGCGAGGAGCGCUGCGUCGCUCCUUCCGCAGAUAGAACAACAGAGGAAGAGAAGGAUGCAGAUGACACGGAGGACUGCAACGUCUUGCGCAAUGAGUGCGGGGGGCCUGUAUUACUGCCCUCGCGCUGUGAUGACACCUUCGCGCUUGGGGUGUCGCUGGCCGUGAAGGCCAAGUUACCCGUGGCGUUGAACGUCUCAUGUGUGCAGCAGACUGCUGCUGCUGUUGCAUUGGUGAAGGCAGACGCGGAUGACUCACACGCCGUCUCCUCUGCUCCCGCCGUUCCCCGUAUUUGCUCACCCGCCCUGCGCAUACCGAUCCAAGGGACGGAAAGGACAGUGCAACACGUGCUCAAGGCCGCAGGCGAUCACAACUCCUUCGCGUCAAAGGCCAUGCAAGCCAUCGCCCUCCAAGCCACGACUGGGGGGCCUCCGCUUCGGUUAAACUGCUCUCGCAGCGAUCUGUCCUCGCUCGUCGGCGGUACUUCGGGGGAUGAUCCGAUGGGAUUGCGCCAGCUCUACAGCCUGCCUGGCUCGCGCGUGGGCAGCUCGCUGGGAAUUCCAACACAUACCCAGCGAGGAGCGGCGCAGUCGUCAGCCGCCGCCGACGCCUUCUCGAUGGAGCGUUUUGCCGCCUUCUACGAGGUGGCGCUGGAGGAGCUGAUGGACGAGUGUGAGCGUCGCGUCGCCAACGCACCAGCGGCGUGGCGGGACAGUCAGCAGCAGCUCAUCGGCGGUGACAUGAACCGUGACCUGGCCACGAGCACGCACUCCUUUGACUCCCCACGCAGCAGCGCCAUGUCCCCAUUCGGCGGCGUACCCUCCAGCGUGGCACUCAGCUGCGGUACCCCUGUAUACUCACCGCGCUUCACUGAUCCGCUGCACAGCACACAUGGGCUGCACAUCCGCGAACUCAGCAGCGACAUCGCAGCCGUUCAGAACCGCACCUCCACCCCACUGCCACCGCCGUCUCUGCAUUCAAACAUGGCCUUCUUCAGCGCUGCUGGGCAGGCGCGCCAGGCGGAACAGGAGAAAAGCGUAGCGAAUGAGGGGGCAGUGUCGAAGUUACUCGCUGCCCUGGGCCGACACCAUGGCAAGAUGGCACCAAUGGUGUUCAUCGCUGGUCUGGCGUACCUUGCGCGAGUCACGGCGCAGUGCGCCUCCGAGUUUCUGAGCGUCACACGCGCAAACUGGUACCGCCUCACCACCACCGCGAUUCUCGUUGCCGCCAAGGUGUACGACGAGCACAGCUCGUCGCGGCUGAACGCCUGCUUUGCCCGAUCCUCCGGCAUUCCACUGAGCGAGAUGACGCGGAUGGAGCUUGACUUUUUGUACCUCCUCGAUUUCGACCUGCUUCUGAAGGAGUCGGAAGUGGAGCAGUGGCUAAUAUGGAUGGAGACGCUCGCGCUGCGCCGCGACUUGAUGACGCCACUCAAUACUUACGUGCUAGACACAAGCGCGAGCACGCCUGCCGUGCAACUCGCCGGCACCCCGAAGCCGUCUUUCACAAGCAGCACCACACUUACAGAGUACGGGGAGCGCUGCAAGACAUGCGCGAUGUGCGAGGCGAGUCGCACGCCGGGCUUAUCCAGCGAGGUUCCGGAGGGCGAAGAAGAAGCCGUCGGGACCUCCCUGUCCUCCGUAGUCGUCCUGCGCAGCGUCCCGCAGAUGCAUGUGGCCAGCAGCUGUGCGAUGACGGCCCCGUGCGCCGUCAGCAGCACUGCGAACUCGCGAUGCCCUACUGGGGCAGCGGCGGCGACCGACGCUCCAUCCCUCACUGCCCCCCUCGUCGAUCUCCCCAGCCUUCCGCCUCGCAGCUCCGCUAGCUCGGUGCUGCUUCCGGUCAGUUUGUUGGAUGGCACCUUCAGUGCUGUUAGCGCGGCGAGUGUGCCAGGCGGCGCGCCCUCUUCCUUGAAUGACCGUCGGACCUUUGUUCCACCCUUGCCGAUCCACGGUGCGCUGCCGCUUCACCCGCCGACGGCGAAGAGGCGCCUGUUCAGCGUCGUGCACGGUACUGCCGAGCCGCCGAGCCCAAUUUCGGUGCGUCAGCUCGGCCGCCUAGGCGGUAGCCCGCCGAGUCCGCUGCGGCCCCCGUCGGUGGGGCGACACCCGUCGGUGCGGUUUUUCAAGUCGCAAGCCACACAUGCUCACGGGCCGCACCGCUACGCCAGUGGAACGGUAGGCUGCGCUGAACUCGGCAUGCACGGCGCCGAGGACGGCGGCGGCAAGGUGUCUAGGCGGUCGUGCCAAGAUCAGGUGACGAGGGCGGGCAGCGCAAGCGCAGCUGGCCAAACCUCGGCACCCGCCGCGGCGAGCCACCAGCAAAAGCGACGCUGGGGCCCACUCGGUAUGGUGCAGCAUGUGCGUGAUGUUCUCGGCGUCACAGCGUCUCUGGUGCGUGGUCAGCUGGACGUGCUAGCACCAUCAGCGCAUCCCGAGGAGUUGAGUCGGCUGCCGCCGCCGCAACAGAACAGAGAGCAACCUACGUCGCAGGCACUACGGCCUUCUACCAAAAGUCUUUCUGGAAGGGGCGGGUGUACGAGUCUGCAACCGCAGUCAUCCGCCAUGCCGCCGCGUCGCACAAACAACGGCGGCACCUAUCCGCCUUUUCCUGAGAAUUUGAUGGACGAGCGAAAGCCGCAGACAUGCAACGCUCCGCCCGCCGCCGCAGUCGCAUCUCGUCGGUUUACCGACUCUAAUCCCCAGCCUAGGCCUGCUGCACCGGAUUGCCACCGCUGCGGUCUUGCGACGCCCGGCGCUGUAACCAGGCGGAGCCCGAUGCCCCGAAGCAGCCCGCAGCAUGUAGACCCUUGCUCGUCGGCGGGGACGCAGCCGUAUACGAGUACGGUCGCUAAUGCCGCUGCUGAUCAGCCAGCAGCGGCGGCAGCCGCGAACGGGGCGUACGCGGACGGCGACAACUCCCACGACGAGGAUGACGAGGGGUACGAGGAGUGCGAGUACGGCUACUACGACGAGGACGGUUACUUCCACUACUACGACGACGACGAGGGCGCGGAGGGGGAGUACGACGAGUACUACGGUGAAGAGGACGAGGAGACCGCGUGGUACGAGGAUGAGGAGGAGGACGAAGCUGCUUACUUUCAGCGAUGCCGCCCACCGAUGACACACUCGCCGCCGUCCUUGUAGGAUGAAGAUGAGCUGUCAGAUGGAGCGGCGCUGCAGGAGUGGUUCCUCUGCCAUCGCUUUUUGAUGCCUUCUGCAGCUCACUGAAGAAGAGCUUUCUCCCUUUUCAUCAUUGGCUGCCUCCCUUAUAGAUGUCGAAGCAGGGAGAGACAGCUGCUGGAGAGAAGGGUGGGAGGAGGUGAGAGGUUCGAGAGUAUCCCUGCAUGUGGUCACAGGCGCCUACAAAGGCACUCGAUUGAGGCACACGCGUCACAAGGGGCGUAUGGUCGACUCUCUCUCUCUGUGUUGAUCUGUGCGUCGAGCAGUGUGAGAUAGACAUAUAUGCCGGUGGAAGGGUACCCUCUUUUUUUGUGUGUAUGUGUGUUUUUGGCGCUCGGCCAAAUGGCGUGGGUAGGUGAUCGACCUUGUCCGAGGUAGCUUCAUGGGCUGCGUCCUUUGCCCUCUUCCAUCUUCUCUCUUCUCGUGGCCAUCUUCAGGGUGUGGUGUCGCGUGGCUCAUUGCGUGACGGCUGUGAACACACGCACACGCGUUCACCGAAAGCGAAGCGAGCGAAGGAAUCGACGUGGCUGAAGGACGGCGAAAGGCAGAAGAGGCCCGGCAAGUGAACAACAACAGUAGAAAAAGAGAAACUGUGAGGCACCGAGUUGAGCAUGCAGGCGGCUGCAACGUGUCGUGCGGUUGAUGCACGUAAAAGAAGGUGGCGCAUAUGUGUCUGUGUGUGCUUGUGUGCGUGUAGCCGGUGGCAGGAAGAGGGCAAAGUGUGGCGAUGUACCAUAGCCCCUCGUCUUGAUUUUCGUUGCUGACUUGAGUGUGUGUGUGUGUGUGUGUGUGUGGUUUCUCUUCUGCUGCUGCUGCGACCCCACGUAUAAAGUAGUCGGCGCGCGUCUCGUACUCGGUCCCUGUUAACGUGGCGCGGUGUGAGCGCAUGCGUAGGUCAACCGUACGGCUGUAGUUUCACUGGGCGGACUUGCCCCUCUCUCUUUGUUGUGCUCGAUUUUUACUUUUCUUGCUCACCGCCUCGGUGCCGAUCAUCGUGGCUGAUGGCUUCAAGGCAGGCGUUGGCGGUAUGUGCCUUGCGGCGCUGCACUCGCUCUUGCCCUCCGCAUUGACGAAAGAGAUAUAACGCCUUUGCUGCUUUUGGUUGCUGACGCGUGCUCGGAUGCCUCUCUUGCCUUGACCUUGCCGUGCCUGUGCUUUGUGUUUUCUAGCUUGUCUGCUUGGCGUCCUGUCGUGGGACGUGUGGCGCCGGCGACGCACCCUUCUAUCGCUCUCGCUCUCCCAUCAUGUCGACUCUCUUCGUGUCUUCUCCGCUACUGCCCCAUGCCCGCUGCUUCAGGGCUUGCACAAUUCCGUGGUUCCUGGGACGGUGGUGGAGCCGUAUAGAUGCCCGUGCUUUGGAUACGAGAGAGAGGUAACACCGGGUAUGGCGUCACGCUGCACACACGACUCUUGUCGUAUGUGCAUGUGUGGGCUCCCGCUGACACACUCCCUGCACUGCACCGCCAUCUAGCCCCCAUUCGAGAUGAGAUAUGAGAACCAAACACAAAAAGAGGGGCUGAAAGGGUGGGUGGUGGUGGUGGUCACAAGGUUCUAGCAGCACACAGACACUCGCGCAAGUGCGGAUCGCUCAAAGAAGAGCGCGUGCCACUCCCGUUCUUCCUCUUUUCCAUCCCUUUCUCUAUAGAAAAGGUAUUAACGGCUCGAAUAAAUGAGCGACAACAACAUCGACCUCUCCUUCUCUCACUCGCUCACGCCCGCUUUCCUAUUGCUCAGGAAACGGGAGACGUGUGUAAUGUUGCAUCAAGGUAUUCGGACAGGGACUCCAACACCGAGGCACACAAACACACACACACACACACACACGCACGCACACAGGCACCGAGCGUGCACGCGGUGCGCACUUCCCUUCCAUCUCAUACCGCUUGUCUCCUCUCGCAAAGUUCUCUCUGCGUAUGCGAAUCCACUGCGCCUUGCCAACUCUCGCCUUUGCUUUUCCUUUCGCCCCUCUAUAACCUCUUCGGCUCCACGCACGCGACUGCCCACGUCUCGCACACUUUUCUGCCUCACGCACAUGGCGUGUGAUCCACGUUCACUUAACAG